Molecule: ribosomal RNA, 254 nt
Filed under: uncultured bacterium
Lineage: Bacteria
Description: partial 16S ribosomal RNA
Rfam family: Bacterial small subunit ribosomal RNA
Source: RNAcentral
UACGGGGGGAGCAAGCGUUGUUCGGAUUUACUGGGCGUAAAGGGCGCGUAGGCGGUCACGACAAGUCAGUUGUGAAAUCUCCGGGCUUAACUCGGAACGGUCAACUGAUACUGUCGGACUAGAGUGCAGAAGGGGCAACUGGAAUUCUCGGUGUAGCGGUGAAAUGCGUAGAUAUCGAGAGGAACACCUGCGGCGAAGGCGGGUUGCUGGGCUGACACUGACGCUGAGGCGCGAAAGCUAGGGGAGCGAACGGG